CCUACGUGAGGCAGCAGUGGGGAAUAUUGCGCAAUGGGCGAAAGCCUGACGCAGCGACGCCGCGUGAGGGAUGAAGGUCUUCGGAUCGUAAACCUCUGUCAGCAGGGAAGAACGGUCACUGUGCUAAUCAGCAGUGAAUUGACGGUACCUGCAAAGGAAGCACCGGCUAACUCCGUGCCAGCAGCCGCGGUAAUACGGAGGGUGCGAGCGUUAAUCGGAAUUACUGGGCGUAAAGCGCUCGUAGGCGGUAUGUCAAGUCAAGGGUGAAAUCCCCGCGCUCAACGUGGGAACUGCCUUUGAAACUGGCAAACUGGAGUGUGUGAGAGGAUAGUGGAAUUCCAGGGGUAGGAGUGAAAUCCGUAGAUAUCUGGAGGAACAUCAGUGGCGAAGGCGACUAUCUGGCACAUAACUGACGCUGAGGAGCGAAAGCGUGGGUAGCAAACAGGAUUAGAUACCCUAGUAGUC
RNAcentral lists this ribosomal RNA (465 nucleotides) under uncultured bacterium. Its description in RNAcentral is "partial 16S ribosomal RNA". It matches the Rfam family "Bacterial small subunit ribosomal RNA", at positions 338 to 795 of the family's 1533-position model. The record is from RNAcentral.